CCCUUAGAGUUUGAUCCUGGCUCAGGACGAACGCUGGCGGCGUGCCUAACACAUGCAAGUCGUGCGGGAACAGAAGACAGUUUACUGACUUCUGCUUCUAGCGGCGGACGGGUGAGUAACGCGUGAACAAUCUACCUACAAGACCGGGAUAACACCGGGAAACUGGUGCUAAUACCUGAUAAUCUCCCUGGGCGGCAUCGUCCGGGGAGGAAAGUCGGCCUCUGAUUUAAGCUGGCACUUGUAGAUGGGUCCACGUCCCAUUAGCUUGUUGGCGGGGUAAUGGCCCACCAAGGCGACGAUGGGUAGCCGGCCUGAGAGGGUGGUCGGCCACACUGGAACUGAGACACGGUCCAGACUCCUACGGGAGGCAGCAGUGGGGAAUCUUCCGCAAUGGGCGCAAGCCUGACGGAGCGACGCCGCGUGAGGGACGAAGGCUUUCGGGUUGUAAACCUCUUUUCUGGGGGAAGAACGUUUUGCACGUUAAUAGCGUGCUUAGUUGACGGUACUCCAGGAAUAAGCCCCGGCUAACUACGUGCCAGCAGCCGCGGUAAUACGUAGGGGGCGAGCGUUGUCCGGAAUCACUGGGCGUAAAGAGCGCGUAGGCGGCUUGAGAAGUCACAGGUGAAAUCCCACGGCUUAACCGUGGAACUGCCUGUGAAACCAUUGGGCUUGAGGACAGGAGAGGGAAGUGGAAUUCCUGGUGUAGCGGUGAAAUGCGUAGAUAU
RNAcentral lists this ribosomal RNA (725 nucleotides) under uncultured bacterium. Its description in RNAcentral is "bacterial SSU rRNA". It matches the Rfam family "Bacterial small subunit ribosomal RNA", at positions 1 to 697 of the family's 1533-position model. The record is from RNAcentral.